Molecule: RNase P RNA, 301 nt
Filed under: Salmonella enterica subsp. enterica serovar Enteritidis str. 08-1080
Lineage: Bacteria; Pseudomonadati; Pseudomonadota; Gammaproteobacteria; Enterobacterales; Enterobacteriaceae
Also listed under: 8 other names
Description: RNA component of RNase P
Rfam family: Bacterial RNase P class A
About the family: Ribonuclease P (RNase P) is a ubiquitous endoribonuclease, found in archaea, bacteria and eukarya as well as chloroplasts and mitochondria. Its best characterised activity is the generation of mature 5'-ends of tRNAs by cleaving the 5'-leader elements of precursor-tRNAs.
Source: RNAcentral
GAGGAAAGUCCGGGCUCCAUAGGGCAGGGUGCCAGGUAACGCCUGGGGGGGAAACCUACGACCAGUGCAACAGAGAGCAAACCGCCGAUGGCCCACGCAAGUGGGAUCAGGUAAGGGUGAAAGGGUGCGGUAAGAGCGCACCGCGCGGCUGGUAACAGUCCGUGGCACGGUAAACUCCACCCGGAGCAAGGCCAAAUAGGGGUUCAUAAGGUACGGCCCGUACUGAACCCGGGUAGGCUGCUUGAGCCAGUGAGCGAUUGCUGGCCUAGAUGAAUGACUGUCCACGACAGAACCCGGCUUA